Molecule: ribosomal RNA, 492 nt
Filed under: uncultured bacterium
Lineage: Bacteria
Description: partial 16S ribosomal RNA
Rfam family: Bacterial small subunit ribosomal RNA
Source: RNAcentral
AGUGAACGCUGGCGGUAGGCCUAACACAUGCAAGUCGAACGGCAGCACAGUAAGAGCUUGCUCUUACGGGUGGCGAGUGGCGGACGGGUGAGGAAUACAUCGGAAUCUACUUUUUCGUGGGGGAUAACGUAGGGAAACUUACGCUAAUACCGCAUACGACCUACGGGUGAAAGCAGGGGAUCUUCGGACCUUGCGCGAUUGAAUGAGCCGAUGUCGGAUUAGCUAGUUGGCGGGGUAAAGGCCCACCAAGGCGACGAUCCGUAGCUGGUCUGAGAGGAUGAACAGCCACACUGGAACUGAGACACGGUCCAGACUCCUACGGGAGGCAGCAGUGGGGAAUAUUGGACAAUGGGCGCAAGCCUGAUCCAGCCACACCGCGUGGGUGAAGAAGGCCUUCGGGUUGUAAAGCCCUUUUGUUGGGAAAGAAAAGCAGCAGGUUAAUACCCCGCUGUUCUGACGGUACCCAAAGAAUAAGCACCGGCUAACUUCGUG